GCUCGUAGUCGGAUGUCUGGCUCGGACAGGCUGUCGGCUUCAGUCGGACGGCAGGCUCCGGGCUUUCUGCAUGAGGAUCCCGUUGAUCUUAAUUGCGCGGCGGGGGGCCACAUGCCUUUUACUUUAAAAAAAUUAAAGUGUUCAAAGCAGGCCUACGCUUGAAUACAUUAGCAUGGAAUAAUGGAAUAGGACUUUGGUCUUAUUUGUUGGUUAUGGGACCAAAGUAAUGAUUAACAGGGACAGUUGGGGCCGUUUAUAUUUCGUUGUCACAGGUGAAAUUCUUGGAUUUACGAAAGAUAAACUUGUGCGAAAGCAUUCGGCAAGGAUGUUUUCAUUGAUCAAGAACGAAAGUUAGGGGAUCGAAAACAAUCAGAUACCGUCGUAGUCUUAACCAUAAACUAUGCCGACUAGGGAUCAGUGGAUGUCAAUUUGCGACUCCCUUGGCACCUUGUGAGAAAUCAAAGUUUUUGGGUUCCGGGGGGAGUAUGGUCGCAAGGCUGAAACUUAAAGGAAUUGACGGAAGGGCACCACCAGGAGUGGAGCCUGCGGCUUAAUUUGACUCAACACGGGGAAACUUACCAGGUCCAGACAUAGUAAGGAUUGACAGAUUGAAAGCUCUUUCUU
RNAcentral lists this ribosomal RNA (624 nucleotides) under uncultured Cryptophyta. Its description in RNAcentral is "SSU rRNA". It matches the Rfam family "Eukaryotic small subunit ribosomal RNA", at positions 626 to 1263 of the family's 1831-position model. The record is from RNAcentral. Lineage: Eukaryota; Cryptophyceae.